CAGCCUGGGCAUGAGGAACAGGAUCUACAGGUGGUAUUGCUCCGGGGCCAAGUGCAGGGGCUCUGGAAUCAGAGACCUGGGUUCACACGCGUCCCCACCCAUCCUGGCUGUGAAGCCGGCCAAGGCGGUGGUCUCAGUCUCCUCAGCUGGAAAACGGGGAUGGCGAGACCCACCUCACGGGCUUGUGCCCACGCUAUCAAGUGCUUCCUGUUACCUGUCCUGUUGGCUGUAAUUCUUUUUAUUAAACCGAUCCUUUCUUCCUAGACUCCAGAAACACAACAAAAGGAUUUGUUGAGAAGACCAAGCUCACGCUCUGAAGGGGGCACCGCACAGAGCUUUCUCAGCACAUGGAGGGGUCCUGGCUGGGCCUCCACCCUCUCUCCCUAAGGCGCUGGUGUGACUCGCCGGUCCGGCCAGGGUGCAGGGGCCACCCUCAGCUCUUCCCCCGUUCCGGAGCCCCAGCACUGACCUCAGAGGAUGCUUAGUCUUCUUUUUUUUUUAUUUUUUAAGAUUUUAUUUACUUAUUUGACAGAGAGAGACACAGAGAGAGAGGGAACACAAGCAGGGGGAGUGGGAAAGGGAGAAGCAGGCCUCCUGACCGAGCAGGGAGCCCGAUGCAGGUCUUGAUCCCAGGACUCCGGGACCAUGACCUGAGCCGAAGGCAGACGCCCAACCGACUGAGCCACCCAGGCGCCCCGAGGAUGCUUAGUCUUAAGCCUGACCUGGUAGGUCCCGACUCUUCCUCAGCCGGCUUUCACGGGGCCUUCAUUUCCACUCAACGAGCCCUGCUCCUUGCCAGGGCCGGCCUUACUGAUCGCAGGGGAGCCUUGCAGGCUGGAGUCUGCUCAGACCCCCGCCUCCCGGAAGCCAGGCCAGGGCAGCCCCAGCCCCCUGGCGAUGCUCGCUGGAUCCACGGGGCCAUCAGAUGUUCUCUCCAGGGAAUUUGAGGCUUGAGGGGGAGAGACAGAGAGUCUGGGUGUCAAUGAAAUCGAGCCACAUUCAUGGCAGUGCCCUGGAGGGAAGGUUCCACCGAGGCCCAUGAGCAGCCAGCAUCCCGCCUGGUUACUCAGCUGUUCUCCGAGUUGGCAUGCGGCCCCACUCACCUCCUCCUGAGCGCCCUGGAGUGAAGAGUCCCAAAGACUGCCCUUCUUGAGGAGCAGCGUGGGGAUCGCUGCAGCUCCGUCGGGUCCCCAGCCUGGGUGGCUGUCCUGCCACCUGGGCUCCCCCUGCCGUCCCUGCCUUCCCUUACCCUUGUGGGUCAGGCGGUGGCGGCGGGAGCCGGCUAGACGCGGCACUUCCUGCUCCAGGUUCUGGAGCUAGCUGUCCCUGGCCCGGCUCUGGGGAAUUCCCAGUGUCACACUGCCGCACGCCUCUCGCCACCUCGCUGGAAGGCCUGGCACUCUCGGCCCUGCAGAACGCUGACGAGGGAUGCACAGAGGAGUUUCCUGCAGGCCUGGCGCGGGGAUGACGCGUCUCACGGAGGGGCUUCCCGGAGGUUGAUUUCUGAAACAUAUCGGACCCCCAAGUCCUUUUUGGUUGGGACCACCUUUGAGGCUGAUGUUCGGCGGAACACGCUGAGGAGGACAUGGAAGCAGGAAGGGAUGGGCGACAGCAGGGUGCAGGGGAGACUUCGAAAAGACGCGGAGAGGAUGAACCAAACACCGAGAAAGAGGGGCGCCCGGGUGGCUCAGUCCGUUAAGCAUCCAGCUCCUGAUUUCGGCUCAGGUCACGAUCUCGGGGUCCCGGGAUCGAGCCCUGUGUGGGGCUCUGUGCCGGGUGAGGAGCCUGCUUGAGAUCCUCUCCCUCGCCCUCGGCCCCUCCCCCGGCCCCUCCCCCACGAGCGCUGUCACUGUCCGAAAAAAGCAAAACCAAACGAAGAAAGAGCACACGAGAAGGCACCCAGCGCUUCCGACACGCCUGUGGGCCCAGGCUCAAGGAAGCCUGAGACGCGCCUCUGACCGAUCGUAUUAUUAUGACGCCCGUUGACGACCAGCGUUGGUGUAAGUACGUGGCUGGCCACGAAGCCGCACCUGAACUUGAACGCGAAGCGGAGAUGGGGCUGCCGGCCGUCCAGCAGCCCCGGCGUCCUCCGGCUGCCCUCACACAGCCUCGCGGCCCGGCCCGCCGCCCCGGGCGCAGCCCGCCAGCAGCCCCCGGCCCCGAAGUUGAUUUUUUUUUUUUUUUCCCCUCUUCUCCAAUUCAAAACGGUCUGCGUGGUCAUCUGGUUUGUGUGAACGUGUGUGUGGCUUAUUAAGAUGUUUUUUGGUAAAAUGAUUAUUUCCAGCUGACAUGAGUCUAAACCCGAAAACAUUUAAAAUAUAUAUAUAUAUAUAUAUUUUUUUUUUUUUUUUUUGAGUACAGUUGACACGCAAGAGAAAAAUCAAGCUGACCCCCGCCAGACCCAGGACGAGAAGGACGUCGGAAGAGGCCGGAAGCGGCGGCGGCGGCCGGACGGCGUCAAGAUGGCGGCGCGAGCGCCGGCCCCGCCGCGGCGCUGCGGCGCGACCCUCUCGACGCGACUGAGAAGAUCCGUAUUUUUUAAAGAUAUGUUAUCUAUUUAUUUGAGAGAGACAGAGAGAGUGCCAGAGAGAGCGAGAGAGAGCACAAGCAGGGAGAAGCGGGCUCCCGGCUGAGAGGGACUCGAGCCCAGGGCCCCGGGGCCACGGCCUGAGCCGAAGGCAGACGCUUAACGGUCGGCGCCCCCCAGGCGCCCCGGGAGAUGCGUAUUUAAAGCCUCUGCCAGGGGACUGGAAACUGCAGACCGAUAUCCUUCAGUAUCAGAGAUUAUGAGAACUAAAGGAUGCUGGAAAGUGAAAGGCAAACAGGUGGGAUUGAGCUGAAGGUAAAAACCGUAAGUGUUCCGAAAAGGAUGCCGGGAAGACAGGGGGCGGGGGUGGGGGGUCAGGUCCGGGGAGCUGACCAGGCGACAGGUGCCGUGCGGCGCGGACUGGCUCCUGCCCCAUCGACUGCACCCCGCAGCCGGUUGCAGAUGCCUUUCACGGACAGCAGAGAGAUAAGGACGAACUGGGGGGACGCAGGGCUCGUUUCCUUGGUAAACAAUGAGCCCUUUAUCAGUAGGAUAAAGGCCGACACCCAGCUGAAAAACUGGGACCCAGAUAGGAUCAGGCAGUUCAGAGAGAAUGAAAUACAGAGAACGAAUACCCAUAUGAAAAGGUUCUGGACCUCACUCAUAAUUAAAGAGAUGCUCAUUAAAACAAGGAGAUACCUGUGGUUCACCAUUAGCAAAAUUUGAAAAGACUGCAGGGCUCAGGGCUAGCGAGGGUGCGGGCACACAGGCUGACGCGAUGGAAACCAGCACAACCUUUCCGGAGGACAAUUUGACAUUAGCUAGCAAACGGAAUUUAAGGGACUGGAAGAAAAUAUGAUAAAAUAUAUUUUUUAUAUUCUUGGGGUGGGGAAAACCUUCCUAAAGCAAGACACAAAAUCUAGAAACCUUAAAGGGGAAAAUGGACAGAUUCGGCCUCAAAAAUUUAAAACAUCUGUAGCGCUAGAGACCGUAUCAACGAUAAAAGACAACAGGUGCAACAUGCAUAACGACCCUAAAAUAUAGAGAGGCCCUUCAAAGCAAAUAUAAAGCUUUAUAUUCCAAUAUAUAAAUGGUCGAAGGACAAGAACAGGCAACUCACAGGAGAAUUCAAAUGGCCGCUAGGUGAGAGGAACACGUAGGCUCACUAGGGAUCGGAGAAAUGCAGAUUUAAAAAUUGAUAAUACCUAGUAUUGGCCAGAGGAAAGGGGGUGCUCCUGUAUGCUGAGGUCAUUGUGUGCUGGUAGAGUCUUUUGAUGGGCCAUUGGGAGAACCUACCAACAUGUAAAAUGUGCAGAUAAUCUUCCAGGAAUCUAUUCUUUGGAAAGACCUGCUCAACUGCACAGGGCUAUGCGAACAAAUACGCUCAUCACAGGACUGUUUGUAUUCGAGAAACACUGGAGAUGAUCUAAAGAAUCAGAGGGUGGGAAGAGAAAGGCAGGUUCACUUUUUAUAUUUUCAUAUCUGAACUUUUUCUAUUUAAUAUUUUUUGAAUUGAUGUCCCAGUUGGGGGAAAUGCUGUGUGUCUGAUUUUCGGGAAAUUAUCAUGAGCUGAAAUUCCAGCACCUCCUAUCCCUAAACCCAUUCAUGUGUCCUUGAAAUCAACCCAAACAAGCUCUCAGGCACAGCCAGAACAGAGAGGGGAAGCAUCACUCAGAAUGUGGGAUCCAUAUGACCCAGCCCCUCCAAAUGGGAAGAGAGGAAGAAGCGGAUUCCCUUCACAUAACCCCUUAUCCCACCUAGCUGGGGAGGCUGAUGUGAGGUCAGGAUGUGACCAUAACUGCGUGGAGGCAGAAGGCAGCUCCUGGCACUGGCCUGUGCCUGGUGCCUGUAGCUGGGCUGAGCACUCUGCCCAGCCCAGGAGAAGGAACCAGAACAACAGCCCAAUCAUCCAGCAUCAGGUUCAGAAUUGCUUCGAGUAGAGCGAGGAAGAGAACUCUUAUCACCCCAAGUCAUGGGGGCAUCUACAGUGAGGUCACAUAGCUCGGGAGCCCAGGAGAACAAUCCAGGUAUAGGAAGAGCCAACACGCUAGUCAAGCCGGGCAGGUGGCAGGUCUUUGCUCUGCUCUCUCCCAAACAGCAUGGGUGACUCAGCCCUCCCGACAGUGCCCCUUUCUCUCUGCUUCCACCAUUUGGUCUCAUCUCACUCAUGACUCCCCUCUAUGUGAUGACUCCUACUCAAGGCUGAUAAUCCAAAUACCUAACAGCUACGAAAGCAUAGGCCCCCACCAGGCAAAAGAGACACCAGCUGCGAACAAUGGAGAGAGUUGGCAAAUUACCCCUAAACUCACUGGCCUAGAACAACAAACACUUAUGAUCUCACCCACUUAUGGGUCAGGAUUUGAAACUGCUUAGCUGGGUGGUUCUGACUCAGGCCCUUUCUGGAAGUUGUGGUCAAGAUGUCAGUUGGAGCUGUAGUCAUUUGAAGGCUUGACCGGGGCUGGAGCAUCUGCUUCUGAGCUGUCUCACAGGACUGUGGGCAGGAGGCUUCAGGGCCCCACCGUGGACCUCUCCAUAGGGCUGCUUGAGCAUCCUUACAACAGGGUGGCUGGCUUCCCCCGAGGGAGCGAUCUAAGAGAGCAAGGCAGAGUCACACUGUCUUUUAUGACCUACCCUCGAAAGUCACACACUGCCCUUUCUGCAGUAUCCUGGUGGGUGCACAGAUCAGCCAUACUCUGUGUGGAAGGGAUUGCACAAGGCUGUAAAUACCAGGAGGUGAGGAUCGGUGGGGGGCAUUCUGGAGCCUGCUCCCUCUCUGAAAUCCGCUAAUGGAUUUCCACCAUCCUUAGAACAAAACCUGAAUGCUUGCCCGUGGCCUGUGAGGCCUGGCAUGACCUGGUCCUUGCCUCCUUCCCAGGCUCAUCGUGUCCUUGGCCCACUUGCAUUAACCUCCAGACCCAGCAACCUCCCCUCUGUCCCUCAACAACCCAAGCUCAUCCUUCAUAUUUUACGCUCCCUCUGCCUAGAAGUCUCUUUACUAGAUCUUUGCAUGGUUGGUUCCUUCUUACCUUUCAGGUCUCAGUUCAAUGGCACCUCCUCAGACAGGCUUCCCUGAGCACCUUAUCAAAAAUAACCCCACCCCUGGGGUGCCUGGGUGGCUCAGUCGUUAAGCGUCUGCCUUCGGCUCAGGUCAUGAUCCCAGGAUCCUGGGAUCGAGCCCCGCAUCAGGCUCCCUGCUCGGUGGGAAGCCUGCUUCUCCCUCUCCCACUCCCCCUGCUUGUGUUCCUGCUCUCACUCUCUCUCUCUCUGUGAAAUAAAUAAAUAAAAUCUUUAAAAAAAAAAAAAAAAACCCACCCCUGCCUGGUUUUCUCUCGAUCACCUUGAGUGGUUUCUUCCCCCACUAUUACAAAUUUGUAGAUCCUGCAUGAAUGAUACAUAAUUUUUGAUUGGAUGUAUUUACAAACACAAUCAGUACCGAUGUCGUGCUGUCAAUGCUGUCAGGCUAUGUUUUUUCCUUUGUUUCCGUUAGAAAAACCUGUUCACAUCACCCUGUGCUCGCUUCUUCCCAGCACAGCACUGACUUCUAUCUGAAAUGAUCUUGUGUAUUGGAUUAUUGCCCUUCUCCCUUCACGUGCCGAUGAGAACUCUUGCUUAUAGGCCACGGACUUCUUCCUAGCUAAUUUAAUCUGAAGAGGAAUUUGUUAAAGGAUAGUAAGCACCUCAAAAACUGCCAGGAAGGGCAGAUAGCCAGGCUUGGGGGUCAUUUGCGUGGAUCAGUCCUUCCAUGAGCCACAUGCACAUACCGCUGUUGCCCAGGUGGGCACUUGAAGCUGGAGACCCCCGUUGGGCUGCCUGCCGCUGCCGCCUCUGGCAGCCAGAUGGAUCUGCUGUAUUCUCCAGAGAAGGUUCCUUGGCACCUGCUUCUCAGUGACCCUUAGCCUCGUGCAGGUGCACCUCAUUGGUGGCAUUUUGUGUCACAUGCUCUGCUCCAUCUGCAGUCGAGACUGGGAACUUAACCUGAUUUCCACCAUGGGGAGCUGUGAGUUCAUAAGGUGGGGAAUUCUCAAAACCAAGAAAGAGGGGCGCCUGGGUGGCUCAGUUGGUUAAGCGACUGCCUUCGGCUCGGGUCAUGAUCCCAGGGUCCUGGGAUCGAGUCCAGCAUCGGGCUCCCGGCUCAGCAGGGAGCCUGCUUCUCCCACUCCCCCUGCUUGUGUUCCUGCUCUCACUGUCUCUGUCUCUGUCAAAUAAAUAAAUAAAAUCUUUAAAAAAAAAAAACAAGAAAGAGUAUUCCAUGGUUUGGGGAGGCCAAAGUGAAUUGAUGACCUAGAUCCUCCACAGUCUCCUUCACCUCAUCAUCAACUCUUCUUUCCCACUUAAAACUUACAAACAACAGCAAAACCCAAUAGUGAGCCAAGAGCUGUUUCCCAAAAGGAAAAUAGUUACUUGUGAAAAGAGUUCACAGCUUUGCUCGAAAACUUGAGGGCUUUCUGCCAUUCUCUGACCAUCUUGCUCAUGUUUUUAUUGCUUGCCUCUGGGUAGGUGCUGUGAGAACAGGGACCCUGUUUCUCUCUGUAUCCUCAGUACCCGGAAUGGCGCCUGGCACCUCCUGGGAGCCCAUAGAUGUUAAGUUAAUGAACUGUGUACACGAUGUCCCCUCCCACGUUGAGUAAGGCUGACCUGCAGAGAUGACAGUGCGUGACUUUCAAACCUCAGCUCCUUUGGCUAACCGCCUUAUUCUUUGGCUGUGCCCAAUUUCAGGUUCCAGAGAGGAGGAAUCCGAUCGGUCAUCUUGUCUAUUUGUACCAAGCCAUCGAUUGUCAGGAGGGCCUAUAAAUUAGAGGCUCCGGGGAGAGAUGUCUGCCGACAUCAGCCCAUCAGAAGGGACUGCGAGAUCCCAAGAUGUGUGUGAGGUGCUCACGUGUCUAGUACAGGGGGUCACAUCUCAUCUGAGGAUGGCAUUCUCAUCUCUCCAUGUAAGACAUUGUGGCAUCUAGUCAAAGUCCCUUACAUUACCACAAAUUUCUCUCCAGAACCACACCCACUUCGGAAAACUCCAGCUCAGCGUGUUUCCCUUCCAAGUGGGGACAGAUGGCUCCUUCUCUGGUGGAGCACCAGGCAGAGCUGGAUUGUCUUAUGGGUCGUGUGGUAUGGAGAGCACACGUGAGAUGCUCGCAGUGUUAGAGGCACGGGGGGCCCGACCCACUGACAAAGCACGGAUGCCCAUCACACCUUCUUCCCGUUGCUCCCUGAGGGACACCUGCCGUGAGCCAUGGAACGCGGGACCUCAGCCCUAAGGCAACAGUCACAGCCUGAGACCAUGGAGUGAAAACCACAGAGUCCUUGAGGGAAUGCGAGGCCCCCAGGACUCCUGAAGCCUGGAAGACAAUGGGAGGUGAUCUCCAAUGGGGCCGCAGAGAAGCAGAGAAUCGGCCUCAUGGGGCCUUUGGCGAAGGCAGAGGUUAAAGGCCACCUGCAGAGGGAGAGCACUUCCUCCCUCCACCAACACUUUGGGAGCACCCUCGAGCCCUGCCUGCCCUGUUCUUUCUCUCAGGCCUGGAGCCACAAGGGAAGGAAGACUGAAUCAGCGCUCAGAGCAGGGUUGGCCUCGCUGCCAGGACGUUGUCAGGCCUGGCAGGGCAGCCUCGACCCUCCCCAGAGGUCCACUGGGGAGGUUGCCGCCCAACCCACUCCUGGCAGCUGCAGCUCUGGGACCCUGCAGGCCCCUUGGCCCCGGGUGGUGACCCACAGAUGGUCUUCCCAGAACCUAUGAUCACGCUGUGCCCCGGGGUGGGCUCAGGCUGGGCACCCCUUCACCCCGGCAGAGUUGGGGCAGGGACGCUGGAGGCCGUGGAGAGCUUCGUGGUGAUGAGGUCCUCAGAGUCCGGCCAGCGUGUCUGUGUUCAUUAUGAUGUGGAACGGGCAGCCCGGUCCCUCUCCCGGAUCCCCUGUGGCCCCCGCCCUCCAGAGCUCGGCUCCUGUGGACCUGGAAAAGCCUUCUGUCCUUCCGGAGGUGGUGACCAAGGCAGAUCUCUACACAGAGCAAUCGUUUCCGGCUCUCCGAGGCUCUGGAACACAUCACCCCGCCCAUACACAGUAAGAAAGUAAGCAGUACUUUUUGUACCUUGGGGACAAAAAUAAAAACCCAGCCACUUAAGUGUUACUCUUGCAGCACCAUUGUCUUAAUGACUAGGGGAAAAAAAAUACCAUUGUCUGAACAAAGGGGCAUAUUUGGGGAGUUUUAUUAUACUGACUGACAUGCUUAAUUCCCAGGUCUCUGGGGGAAAGAACGCACCGAGUGUUCCCCUCACCCCCACCCCCACCCCCCCAAAAAAGGAUAAAAAUAGAUUACCAGAACAGACGCAAAAUAGCAGCCCCAGCUCCCUUCCAUGGCAAGCACUGUCUGGUGACUGACUCACCCAGGGACUCUUCCGAAAGGGACAUAGUCCCGUCCGUUAGGUUAAGAGGAAAGGAUGAUGCGCCUGCCGGUGGCGGGACCAGCUCGGGGAUGCUGGCGGAGAGCAGCCAGGCCUGGGGACAGGGGGAUGUGUGGGGAGCCAAGGCCAGUCUUCUGUCCCUUUGUCUUCUCUGUCUAUGCGUCUGUCUCUGUCUUGCUGUCUCUCUGUCUCCUGGUCCCUGUAGGUGUCUGCCGGCUGGCCUCUCUCAGGACACGAGAUCUGUCCUCUCUGCUUGCCCAGAGCAUCUGCUUUUCCUCUCUCCCUCUCUUUUUUUUUUAAGAUUUAUUUAUUUGACAGAGAGACACAGCGAGAGGGAACACAAGCAGGGGGAGUGGGAGAGGCAGAAGCAGGCUUCUCACAGAGCAGGGAGCCCGACGCGGGGCUCGAUCCCAGGACCCUGGGACCACGACCUGAGCCGAAGGCAGACGCUUAACAACUGAGGCACCCAGGUGCCCCUCCUCUCUCCCUCUCUUUGCAGAGUGGCUUUCUCAUCUCUGCUGAACCACGACGGUUCUUUUCAUGACCCUAACAAGUUUGGUGCCUACACUAGCUGACCUGGUCUCCAGGUGUCCCGGGUCCGAAUCCGUAGGAUAGGGAGGGAGGUUGGCUCAGCCUCCGGAGCACUUCCUCUGGGCCAGCCCUCCCCACUGUCCUAUGGUUCUGGGAGCAUGCGUGCUGGGGCACGGGGCAGGGAACAGCAGGACCCCCUCUUGGGAACGGUGGUAGGUGUGAGAGUUCUCAGAUACAGGGGCAAACCCUGGGGAUACACCUCCAAAAAGUCUUCUAUGUUACAAACCCCACAGAAGAGGUGUUCUUGGAAAUCUCUGGGGCGGACCCCACAUGUAAUGCUCCCUUUUGCAGGUUUUAUAAAUAUAUACAAAUUUCUAAGGCUCAAAAAAGACAUGUUUCACAUG
This is a long non-coding RNA of Mirounga angustirostris (Northern elephant seal), 9854 nucleotides long. RefSeq lists it as uncharacterized. The record is from RefSeq and is a predicted model, not a curated record. The transcript is spliced from 3 exons. Lineage: Eukaryota; Metazoa; Chordata; Mammalia; Carnivora; Phocidae.